GUUGACUUGAUGUUAUGUUUUAAUACUAAAGCUAUAAUUUCAUUAAGCAUCAAAACCGCUCUUCGUUAUACUGAAUAUAUAAUUGAGUUAUUAAGUUAUAUGACUUUUUUUUUUUUCGCACUUAAGUAUUCAUUCAACUCUUCAAUACCUUCAAUAAUUAUGUCUAAUGGGGCAGUACUGUCAAUCUUUGACAAUUUGUGUUUAUUUGAUUACAUUUUUUUUUUUGUGAAUUAACAACUAUAAUGUGACGGAUGAUUUCAGGGGUUAAUAAUGGUGAUUGCACUGAUUAUAAUACUAAUUAGGGAAACAGUAACCGUUUUUCUGAUUGGCUAAACUACAACUGUUAGCCUUUGUUUGGUGCUUGCAGUUCAUUUGGUAGUUGUUUGACACAGGCCAUUGUGUGGUUGAAUGCCUCAGUGACACAUUGCUUAAUUAUUCUUUUCAAUCUUCAUUCAAGUAAUAUUUUAAUCAAAAUGUUAAAUCAGUUUUCAAUGUGAUCCUGUAAAAUUCAUUGGUUGUGCGGAAUCACUCAAAUUCUGUGAGAUUUGUCCAUCAUAUGCUUUUGUUACUGACCAAAUAUCCGAUAAGGUAUCUUCGAAAAUCCACACACCGCAAGUUGAGAGAAGCGACAACCACAAUCCCACCCUGAUCAUACUAACGCUAAUACUCGUUGGAUGUAUUCUUGGAGUUUUGCUAGCUGUGUUCGCAAUAUUCUGCUACCGGCAGAAAGCUAAAACACGCGACAAACUUAAAUCCCUCGCCACGGGUUCUGUCUCGGAGAAAGAAGCGACAGUGGACUAUCAGGUAUGGAAAUUACAGCAUGUUAUAAAAAUUUAAAAAUUUUUGAAUUAAAACUGAAUAGUAUUGAAUACUAUUUCCAGUAGACGUAACAGCUGGUUCAGAAUUGGAAUGGAACAAUAGCCAAUAGGAUUCCAUUUCACAGCUGCUGCAUAUCAAACCAAUGAAGGUGUUUAAAUGGGUUUUGUUUGCUUUAAACCAGUUUACUUUUUAAUAACCAUGUUACAGUAUGUACUUUAGACCGUAGUGAAUGUACAGCAGGGGUAAAGGUCAUUGCAGGGAUAACGAUCAUUUUGAAGUGUACUCGUAUGAGUGUAGUACAAGUUUAAAGGAGUAAGACAACCUGGAAGAUUCUUAUUUAUUGAAUGUCACCAAUUUUUGUCUUGAUUUACUAUACAACCGGACAUGGUUUUAUGCAAUGUUUUCCAAAUCCAUAGUACCAGGAUUAAAAAAAUACAAUGCCAGCAUUUUUCAUGUAACUAGAUAUACCUCCUGGUCAUUUGACUCGUAAAACAUGUAAAUUUAAAGUUAAUUGGAUGUGCAUAAAUUGUUUAUACAAAAUGUUCACUGCCAGAUUGUUAAUUUAAAUUACAUUUUUUUGCAAUGUUUAGUAUCUUUGUACUCAUCCAAUUAUAUAAUUUUUUUGUUUCAAAUACUCUCUUUGUCUCUGGAAAAUAAAAAACAACAUUUUCUAUAUCAGUAGCAUUGUUAGUAUCAUAAAUUUGCGUCCAAACUAUGUAGGUCCACAAAGAAUUGAAUGAUAAAAUAAUAAAAUAUUAAUAACAAUGAGGAUGAUUCAUUAAUAAUUUCCGAAAGUAAUUACCUGAUAUGGUAUAGCCAAUUGGGUUGAUCAAUACCACUUAUUAUG
This 1666-nucleotide unclassified non-coding RNA is filed under the name Anneissia japonica. RNAcentral describes it as "uncharacterized LOC117112706, transcript variant X4". Lineage: Eukaryota; Metazoa; Echinodermata; Crinoidea; Comatulida; Comatulidae. The record is from RNAcentral.